GACGAACGCUGGCGGCGUGCUUAACACAUGCAAGUCGAACGAUGAAGCUGGAGCUUGCUCCAGUGGAUUAGUGGCGAACGGGUGAGUAACACGUGAGCAAUCUGCCCUUGACUCUGGGAUAACUGCGGGAAACUGUAGCUAAUACCGGAUACGACACCUUGGGGCAUCCCGAGGUGUGGAAAGAAUUUCGGUCAAGGAUGAGCUCGCGGCCUAUCAGCUUGUUGGUGAGGUAAUGGCUCACCAAGGCGACGACGGGUAGCCGGCCUGAGAGGGCGACCGGCCACACUGGGACUGAGACACGGCCCAGACUCCUACGGGAGGCAGCAGUGGGGAAUUUUGGACAAUGGGCGCAAGCCUGAUCCAGCAAUGCCGCGUGCAGGAAGAAGGCCUUCGGGUUGU
This 399-nucleotide ribosomal RNA is filed under the name uncultured bacterium. RNAcentral describes it as "bacterial SSU rRNA". It matches the Rfam family "Bacterial small subunit ribosomal RNA", at positions 28 to 426 of the family's 1533-position model. The record is from RNAcentral.